This is a non-coding RNA of Meleagris gallopavo (turkey), 523 nucleotides long. The record is from RefSeq and is a predicted model, not a curated record. Lineage: Eukaryota; Metazoa; Chordata; Aves; Galliformes; Phasianidae.
UCCCGCCGCGGCAACCGGGCCUUCAGCCGGCCUCCUCUGUGCUGCCGCCGUGCCAGCGCCAAGGGCCCUGCCGCAGCCACCGCAGCCGGGCGCCGUCACAGGAGGGCCCGCUCCUCAGGUGCUCGGCAUCCUUGGUGCCAUGUUUUCUGGUAAAGAAAACGUUCACUGUAUUCACGAGAGCAGUCAAGGAAGAAAUGCUCGUAUAAUUAAACGACUCAGAUGCACAAGCAUGCAAGGUUGGACACAGCUUGUUAGACAUGGCUGCUAUUCAUAAAGCAGCUGUGAGGCCACGUACACGGGGGAACCUUGGUUUGUUAGAGCACCUGCUGGCAGAUGUAGUUGAUAUUCUUUGAGAAAACAGUACCACCUCAGGUUUGAAUUGGCUCACUCAAAGAAGUGCAAGAUGUAGAGCAGUGGACAGCAGCGCUUUCUGUAAAAGUAUCAGGAACAAUAUGAACACAGCCCCAGAAGUCUGUAGAAGUGCAUGCAGCAAGGAUUGUACGAUGGCAUUCUUUGGGGAUAA